GGCCGGAACGGUUCGGCAGGCUCCCGGCCGCCCCGUUUUAAGGGCGGGAAUUCGAUUUUGAUUACGUCCCUGCCCUUUGUACACACCGCCCGUCGCUGCCCGGGACUGAGCCAUUUCGAGAAACUCGGGGACGGUUAGCGUGCCGGCUUCGGUCGUCGCGCAGAUUGGAACCGAUUUAAUCGCAGUGGCUUGAACCGGGCAAAAGUCGUAACAAGGUAGCUGUAGGUGAACCUGCUGCUGGAUCAUUACC
This 250-nucleotide ribosomal RNA is filed under the name Heterodera graminis. Its description in RNAcentral is "partial 18S ribosomal RNA". It matches the Rfam family "Eukaryotic small subunit ribosomal RNA", at positions 1631 to 1831 of the family's 1831-position model. Lineage: Eukaryota; Metazoa; Nematoda; Chromadorea; Rhabditida; Heteroderidae. The record is from RNAcentral.